Molecule: transfer RNA, 91 nt
Filed under: Pyrenochaeta sp. MPI-SDFR-AT-0127
Lineage: Eukaryota; Fungi; Ascomycota; Dothideomycetes; Pleosporales; Cucurbitariaceae
Rfam family: tRNA
About the family: Transfer RNA (tRNA) molecules are approximately 80 nucleotides in length. Their secondary structure includes four short double-helical elements and three loops (D, anti-codon, and T loops).
Source: Rfam by way of RNAcentral
GUCUCGGUGGCGCAAUGGUAGCGCGUUGGACUUCUACCGCUUGAUUGAUUUCGGUAUCCAAAGGCUGCGGGUUCGAGCCCCGCCCGAGAUG